RNAcentral lists this long non-coding RNA (560 nucleotides) under Homo sapiens (human). RNAcentral describes it as "non-protein coding lnc-FAM196A-3:1". The record is from RNAcentral. Lineage: Eukaryota; Metazoa; Chordata; Mammalia; Primates; Hominidae.
CACGGGUACACACACACACACCCACAUGCACACAGAUGAGCACGGGUACACACACACAUGCACACACACAGAUGAGCACGGGUACACACACGCACACCCACAUGCAGGUACACACACGCACACCCACAUGCACACAAUGCAGGUACACACCCACACCCACAUGCACACACAUGCAGGUACACACACACACACCCACAUGCACACACACAGAUGAGCACGGGUACACACACGCACACCCACAUGCACACACACAGAUGAGCACGGGUACACACACACACCCACAUGCACACACGUGCAGGUACACAGAUGAGCACGGGUACACACACACACACAUGCACACACACAGAUGAGCACGGGUACACACACGCACACCCAUGCACACACAUGCAGGGACACACAGAUGAGCACGGGUACACACACACACCCACAUGCACACACACAGAUGAGCACGGGUACACACAUGCACACCCACACGCACACACAUGCAAGGACACACAGAUGAGCACGAGUACACACACACCCACAUGCACACACAUGCAGGGACACACACAGAUGAGCAC